This 73-nucleotide transfer RNA is filed under the name Stegodyphus mimosarum. It matches the Rfam family "tRNA". Rfam says of the family: Transfer RNA (tRNA) molecules are approximately 80 nucleotides in length. Their secondary structure includes four short double-helical elements and three loops (D, anti-codon, and T loops). The record is from Rfam by way of RNAcentral. Lineage: Eukaryota; Metazoa; Arthropoda; Arachnida; Araneae; Eresidae.
GUCUUCGUGGUGUAGUGGUCAAGACGCUCGGCGCAUAUUCGAGAGGUCCGUGGUUCGAAUCUCGGCGAGGACA